GCUGAAACAUAAACUACACAAAAAUCCAUAAACAAUAAAACAAACCAUUUGAUAAACCAAGUAGAUGUGAUCGAACAGCAAACACACAAAUUGUACCGUAAGGGAAAGAAAUCAAGUAAAAAAUAGCAAAGAUAAACCCCUGUACCUUUUGCAUCAUGGUUUAGCAAGUAAAUCAAGGACAAGAAGAAUCAAAGCCCACAUCCCCGAAACCAGAUGAGCUACUUUAAAGCAGCUCAUCGGGCUUACCCUUCUCUGUGGCAAAAGAGUGGGAAGACUUAAAAGUAGAAGUGAAACGCUUACCGAAUCUGGAGAUAGCUGGCUACCUAAUAAAGGAAUAUAAGUUCCACUUUAGACCACACACAUACACAAUUAUUAUCUAAAGAUAAUCAAUAGGGGUACAGCUCUAUUGAAACAGGAAACAACCUGAAUUUGAGAAAAAACAUUACCGCACAACCAGUAGGCCUUAAAGCAGCCACCAAAAAAAAUAUCGUUAAAGAAUUUACAUUAAAAACCCCAAAACCAAUCAGAAACUCCAAACAGACUAAAGGUAAAUCCAUAAUAAUGAAUACCAUUAUGCUAAAACUAAUAAUAAGAACCAUUCUCUACACGCACCUAUCCACUAGAAACGGAUAAACCACUAGCCAUUAACAGACCACAAUAGGCACCAAACAAACAAUACCCACCUCUACACAAACUGUGACCCCAACACAGGUGCGUUAAAAAGAAGAUUAACCAUUAUAAAAGGAACUCGGCAACCAAAAACCCCAACUGUUUAACAAAAACAUAACCUUUAGCCAAACAAAUAUUAAAGGCAACGCCUGCCCAGUGAACAAUUAAACGGCCGCGGUACCCUAACCGUGCAAAGGUAGCAUAAUCAUUUGUCUAUUAACUGUAGACCUGUAUGAAAGGCAAAAUGAGGGUUUAACUGUCUCUUAUAAUAAAUCUAUUAAACUGAUCUACUAGUAAAAAAGCUAGAAUGCACACAUAAGACCAGAAGACCCUGUGAAGCUUAAACUAAACUAUUAAACCCAAUAAUAAUUACUUUCGGUUGGGGCGACCUUGGAAACAAGAAGAACUUCCAAAUCACGUGAUUUCCACACAUACUUAAGGCCCACAAGCCAAUACACGACCCAGUACUACUGACAAUUGAACAAAGUUACUCCAGGGAUAACAGCGCCAUCUUCUUCAAGAGCCCAUAUCAAAAAGAAGGUUUACGACCUCGAUGUUGGAUCAGGACAUCCUAAUGGUGCAGCCGCUAUUAAGGGUUCGUUUGUUCAACGACUAAUGUCCUACGUGAUCUGAGUUCAGACCGGAGCAAUCCAGGUCGGUUUCUAUCUAUGAUACAUUAUCUCCAGUACGAAAGGACCGACAUAAUAAAGCCUAUACUACAAAUAUGCUUUUACAAUAAAUAACAAUCAAAAUUACCACUUCUAACCUAAACCAAGACAAGGUUAA
Molecule: ribosomal RNA, 1455 nt
Filed under: Opisthotropis guangxiensis
Lineage: Eukaryota; Metazoa; Chordata; Lepidosauria; Squamata; Natricidae
Description: 16S ribosomal RNA
Rfam family: Bacterial large subunit ribosomal RNA
Source: RNAcentral